AGGAAAUUUGAGAGGAGCUGUCCUUAGUACGAGAGGACCGGGAUGGACGUACCGCUGGUGCACCAGUUGUUCCGCCAGGAGCAUGGCUGGGUAGCUACGUACGGACGGGAUAAGCGCUGAAAGCAUCUAAGCGUGAAGCCCCCCUCAAGAUGAGAUUUCCCAACUAGUAAGACCCCUUGAAGACGACGAGGUAGAUAGGUUGGAGGUGGAAGUGCAGCAAUGCAUGGAGCUGACCAAUACUAAUCGGUCGAGGGCUUAUCCAAAUGACCCCAAA
RNAcentral lists this ribosomal RNA (274 nucleotides) under Shigella flexneri. Its description in RNAcentral is "partial 23S ribosomal RNA". It matches the Rfam family "Bacterial large subunit ribosomal RNA", at positions 2655 to 2925 of the family's 2925-position model. Lineage: Bacteria; Pseudomonadati; Pseudomonadota; Gammaproteobacteria; Enterobacterales; Enterobacteriaceae. The record is from RNAcentral.